RNAcentral lists this transfer RNA (72 nucleotides) under Sandaracinus sp. Its description in RNAcentral is "tRNA-His". It matches the Rfam family "tRNA". From Rfam's summary of the family: Transfer RNA (tRNA) molecules are approximately 80 nucleotides in length. Their secondary structure includes four short double-helical elements and three loops (D, anti-codon, and T loops). The record is from RNAcentral. Lineage: Bacteria; Pseudomonadati; Myxococcota; Polyangiales; Sandaracinaceae. RNAcentral also lists the same sequence under 1 other name.
UUGGUCGUAGCUCAGUGGCCAGAGCGCCCGAUUGUGGCUCGGGAUACGCGGGUUCGAUUCCCGUCGAUCAAC